This 497-nucleotide ribosomal RNA is filed under the name uncultured bacterium. Its description in RNAcentral is "partial 16S ribosomal RNA". It matches the Rfam family "Bacterial small subunit ribosomal RNA", at positions 28 to 507 of the family's 1533-position model. The record is from RNAcentral.
GACGAACGCUGGCGGCGUGCCUAAUACAUGCAAGUUGAGCGAUGAAGAUUGGUGCUUGCUCCAAUUUGAAGAGCAGCGAACGGGUGAGUAACGCGUGGGGAAUCUGCCUUUGAGCGGGGGACAACAUUUGGAAACGAAUGCUAAUACCGCAUAACAACUUUAAACAUAAGUUUUAAGUUUGAAAGAUGCUAUUGCAUCACUUAAAGAUGAUCCCGCGUUGUAUUAGCUAGUUGGUGAGGGAAAGGCUCACCAAGGCGAGGAUACAUAGCCGAACUGAGAGGGGGGUCGGCCAGAAUGGGACUGAGACACGGCCCAAACACCUAAGGGAGGCCGCAAGAGGGAAUCUUUGGGCAAGGACGAAAGGCUGACCGAGCAACGCCGGGUGAGUGAAGGAAGUUGUCGGGUCGUAAAACUCUGUUGGUAGGGAAGAACGUAGAUGGGAGUGGAAAGCGCAUCAAGUGACGGUAACUACCCAGAAAGGGACGGCUAACUACGUG